This is a non-coding RNA of Xyrichtys novacula (pearly razorfish), 4945 nucleotides long. The record is from the annotation of a GenBank genome assembly. NCBI's taxonomy places the organism in Eukaryota, Metazoa, Chordata, Actinopteri, Labriformes, Labridae.
UUGGGGCUAGGGUAAGGUUUAAGGUUUUUGGCGUUAGGGUUAAAAUCACUGUCCAAAACCUUUUAAGGAACAAGAUUCAGACCUUUUGGAGUUGGUUACACCAAAAAAAAUGUAAAAUGAAAAAAAAAAUAUUUGGGGUGUUCGGGCUUCCUGAAGGUAAUACCCUUCAGGUUUAAGUAUUAGGUUAUGGGGCUAGGAUUAGGUUUAAGGUUUUUGGCGUAAGGGUUAAAAUCACUGUCCAAUAUUUUUUAAGGAACAUGUUUCAGACCUUUUGGAGCUAGUUUGACCAAAAAAAAAAGAAAAAGAAAAAAUAUAUAUUUGGGGUGUUCGGGCUUCCUGAAGGUAAUACCCGGGUAUUAGGUUAUGGGGCUAGGUUAAGGUUUAAGGUUUUUGGCGUGAGGGUUAAAAUCACUGUCCAAAACCUUUGUAGGACCUCUUUUCAAACCUUUUGGUGUUAGUUAGACAAAAAAAAAAAACGAAAAAUGAAAAAAAAAUAUUUGGGGUGUUCGGGCUUCCGGAAGGUAAUACCCGGGUAUUAGGUUAUGGGGCUUUGGAAAGGUUUAAGGUUUUUGGCGUGAGAGUUAAAAUCACUGUCCAAAACCUUUGUAGGAAGUCUUUUCCAACCUUUUGGAGUUAGUUAGUCCAAUAAAAAAAUGAAAAAUGAAAAAAAAAAAAUUUGGGGUGUUCGGGCUUCCUGAAGGUAAUACCCGGGUAUUAGGUUUUGGGGCUAGGAUAAGGUUUAAGGUUUUUGGCGUUAGGGUUAAAAUCACUGUCCAAUAUUUUUUAAGGAACAUGUUUCAGACCUUUUGGAGUUAGUUCGACCAAAAAAAAAGAAAAAAGAAAAAAAAAUAUUUUGGGUUUUCGGGCUUCCUGAAGGUAUUAGGUUUUGGGGCUAGUGUAAGGUUUAAGGUUUUUGGCGUUAGGGUUAAAAUCACUGUCCAAAACCUUUUAAGGAACAAGAUUCAGACCUUUUGGAGUUGGUUACACCAAAAAAAAUGUAAAAUGAAAAAAAAUUUUUUUUGGGUGUUCGGGCUUCCUGAAGGUAAUACUAGGUUUCUGGGCUAGGGUAAGGUUUAAGGUUUUUGGCGUUAGGGUUAAAAUCAAUGUCCAAAACCUUUGUAGGAACUCUUUUCCAACCUUUGAGAGCAAGUUAGACCAAAACAAAAAUAAAAAUAAAAAUAUAUAUUUGGGGUGUUCGGGCUUCCUGAAGGUAAUACCCGGGUAUUAGGUUUUGGGGCUAGGGUUAGGUUUAAGGUUUUUGGCGUUAGGGUCAAAAUAACUGUCCAAUAUUUUUUAAGGAACAUGUUUCAGAACUUUGGGAGUUAGUUAGACAAAAAAAAAAAAAGAAAAAGAAAAAAAAAAUAUUUGGGGUGUUCGGGCUUCCUGAAGGUAAUACCCGGGUAUUAGGUUAUGGGGCUAGGGUAAGGUUUAAGGUUUUUGGCGUUAGAGUUAAAAUCAGUGUCCAAAACCUUUUUAGGAACAUGUUUAAGACCUUUUGGAGUUGGUUACACCAAAAAAAAAUGUAAAAUGAAAAAAAAUAUAUUUGGGGUGUUCGGGCUUCCUGAAGGUAAUACCCGGGUAUUAGGUUUUGGGGCUAGGGUAAGGUUUAAGGUUUUUGGUGGUAGGGUUAAAAUCACUGUCCAAAACCUUUGUAGGAACUCUUUUCCAACCUUUUGGAGUUAGUUAGACCAAAAAAAAAGAAAAAAGAAAAAAAUAUAUUUGGGGUCUUCGGGCUUCCUGAAGGAAAUACCCAGGUAUUAGGUUAUGGGGCUAGGGUAAGGUUUAAGGUUUUUGGCGUUAGGGUUAAAAUCACUGUCCAAAACCUUUUUAGGAACAUGUUUCAGAUCUUUUGGAGUUGGUUACACCAAAAAAAAAUGUAAAAUGAAAAAAAAAGUAUUUGGGGUCUUCGGGCUUCCUGAAGGAAAUACCCAGGUAUUAGGUUAUGGGGCUAUAGUAAGGUUAAAGGUUUUUGGCGUUAGGGUUAAAAUCACUGUCCAAAACCUUUGUAGGAACUAUUUUCCAGCCUUUUGGAGUUAGUUAGACCAAAAAAAAAACGAAAAAUGAAAAAAAAUAUUUGGGGUUUUUGGGCUUCCUGAAGGUAAUACCCGGGUAUGAGGUUAUGGGGCUAGGGUAAGGUUUAAGGUUUUUGGCGUUAGAGUUAAAAUCAGUGUCCAACACCUUUUUAGGAACAUGUUUAAGACCUUUUGGAGUUGGUUACACCAAAAAAAAUGUAAAAUGAAAAAAAAAAUAUUUGGCGUCUUCGGGCUUCCUGAAGGAAAUACCCAGGUAUUAGGUUAUGGGGCUAUAGUAAGGUUAAAGGUUUUUGGCGUUAGGGUUAAAAUCACCGUCCAAAACCUUUGUAGGAACAUGUUUCAGACCUUUUGGAGUUGGUAACACCAAAAAAAAAUGUAAAAUGAAAAAAAAAUAUUUGGGGUGUUCAAGCUUCCUGAAGGUAAUACCCGGGUAUUAGGUUUUGGGGCUAGGGUAAGGUUUAAGGUUUUUGGCGUUAGGGUUAAAAUCACUGUCCAAAACCUUUUAAGGAACAAGAUUCAGACCUUUUGGAGUUGGUUACACCAAAAAAAAUGUAAAAUGAAAAAAAAAAUAUUUGGGGUGUUCGGGCUUCCUGAAGGUAAUACCCUUCAGGUUUAAGUAUUAGGUUAUGGGGCUAGGAUUAGGUUUAAGGUUUUUGGCGUAAGGGUUAAAAUCACUGUCCAAUAUUUUUUAAGGAACAUGUUUCAGACCUUUUGGAGCUAGUUAGACCAAAAAAAAAGAAAAAGAAAAAAUAUAUAUUUGGGGUGUUCGGGCUUCCUGAAGGUAAUACCCGGGUAUUAGGUUUUGGGGCUAGGAUUAGGUUUAAGGUUUUUGGCGUUAGGGUUAAAAUCACUGUCCAAUAUUUUUUAAGGAACAUGUUUCAGACCUUUUGGAGUUAGUUCGACCAAAAAAAAAGAAAAAAGAAAAAAAAUAUUUUGGGUUUUCGGGCUUCCUGAAGGUAUUAGGUUUUGGGGCUAGUGUAAGGUUUAAGGUUUUUGGCGUUAGGGUUAAAAUCACUGUCCAAAACCUUUUAAGGAACAAGAUUCAGACCUUUUGGAGUUGGUUACACCAAAAAAAAUGUAAAAUGAAAAAAAAUUUUUUUUGGGUGUUCGGGCUUCCUGAAGGUAAUACUAGGUUUCUGGGCUAGGGUAAGGUUUAAGGUUUUUGGCGUUAGGGUUAAAAUCAAUGUCCAAAACCUUUGUAGGAACUCUUUUCCAACCUUUGAGAGCAAGUUAGACCAAAACAAAAAUAAAAAUAAAAAUAUAUAUUUGGGGUGUUCGGGCUUCCUGAAGGUAAUACCCGGGUAUUAGGUUUUGGGGCUAGGGUUAGGUUUAAGGUUUUUGGCGUUAGGGUCAAAAUAACUGUCCAAUAUUUUUUAAGGAACAUGUUUCAGAACUUUGGGAGUUAGUUAGACAAAAAAAAAAAAAAGAAAAAGAAAAAAAAAAUAUUUGGGGUGUUCGGGCUUCCUGAAGGUAAUACCCGGGUAUUAGGUUAUGGGGCUAGGGUAAGGUUUAAGGUUUUUGGCGUUAGAGUUAAAAUCAGUGUCCAAAACGUUUUUAGGAACAUGUUUAAGACCUUUUGGAGUUGGUUACACCAAAAAAAAAUGUAAAAUGAAAAAAAAUAUAUUUGGGGUGUUCGGGCUUCCUGAAGGAAAUACCCAGGUAUUAGGUUAUGGGGCUAUAGUAAGGUUAAAGGUUUUUGGCGUUAGGGUUAAAAUCACUGUCCAAAACCUUUGUAGGAACUAUUUUCCAACCUUUUGGAGUUAGUUAGACCAAAAAAAAGAAAAAAGAAAAAAAAAUAUUUGGGGUUUUUGGGCUUCCUGAAGGUAAUACCCGGGUAUGAGGUUAUGGGGCUAGGGUAAGGUUUAAGGUUUUUGGCGUUAGAGUUAAAAUCAGUGUCCAACACCUUUUUAGGAACAUGUUUAAGACCUUUUGGAGUUGGUUACACCAAAAAAAAUGUAAAAUGAAAAAAAAAAUAUUUGGCGUCUUCGGGCUUCCUGAAGGAAAUACCCAGGUAUUAGGUUAUGGGGCUAUAGUAAGGUUAAAGGUUUUUGGCGUUAGGGUUAAAAUCACCGUCCAAAACCUUUGUAGGAACAUGUUUCAGACCUUUUGGAGUUGGUAACACCAAAAAAAAAGUAAAAUGAAAAAAAAAAUAUUUGGGGUGUUCAAGCUUCCUGAAGGUAAUACCCGGGUAUUAGGUUUUGGGGCUAGGGUAAGGUUUAAGGUUUUUGGUGUUAGGGUUAAAAUCACUGUCCAAAACCUUUUAAGGAACAAGAUUCAGACCUUUUGGAGUUGGUUACACCAAAAAAAAUGUAAAAUGAAAAAAAAAAUAUUUGGGGUGUUCGGGCUUCCUGAAGGUAAUACCCUUCAGGUUUAAGUAUUAGGUUAUGGGGCUAGGAUUAGGUUUAAGGUUUUUGGCGUAAGGGUUAAAAUCACUGUCCAAUAUUUUUUAAGGAACAUGUUUCAGACCUUUUGGAGCUAGUUUGACCAAAAAAAAAGAAAAAGAAAAAAUAUUUAUUUGGGGUGUUCGGGCUUCCUGAAGGUAAUACCCGGGUAUUAGGUUAUGGGGCUAGGUUAAGGUUUAAGGUUUUUGUAGUGAGGGUUAAAAUCACUGUCCAAAACCUUUGUAGGACCUCUUUUCAAACCUUUUUGUGUUAGUUAGACAAAAAAAAAAACGAAAAAUUAAAAAAAAAUAUUUGGGGUGUUCGGGCUUCCGGAAGGUAAUACCCGGGUAUUAGGUUAUGGGGCUUUGGAAAGGUUUAAGGCUUUUGGCGUGAGAGUUAAAAUCACUGUCCAAAACCUUUGUAGGAAGUCUUUUCCAACCUUUUGGAGUUAGUUAGACCAAUAAAAAAAUGAAAAAUGAAAAAAAAAAAUUUGGGGUGUUCGGGCUUCCUGAAGGUAAUACCCGGGUAUUA